Molecule: ribosomal RNA, 468 nt
Filed under: uncultured bacterium
Lineage: Bacteria
Description: partial 16S ribosomal RNA
Rfam family: Bacterial small subunit ribosomal RNA
Source: RNAcentral
GACGAACGCUGGCGGCGUGCUUAACACAUGCAAGUCGAACGGAAAGGCCCUGCUUUUGUUGUGUGCUCGAGUGGCGAACGGGGGAGUAACACGUGAGUAACCUGCCCUUGACUUUGGGAGAACUUCAGGAAACUGGGGCUAAUACCGGAUAGGAUCUCCUGCUGCAUGGUGGGCAUUGGAAAGUUUCGGCGGUUGGGGAUGGUUUCGCGGCUUAUGAGCUUGUUGGGCGGGUAGUGGUUUACCAAGGCUUUGAGGGAUACGCGGCCUGGGAGGGUGACCGGGCACAUUGGGACUGAGAUAGGCAGCAGUCGCGUACGGGAGGCAGUAGGGGGGAACAUGGCACAAUGGGGCGAAGCCUGAUGUAGCGACGCCGCGUGCGGAAUGCCGGCUUUUUGGUUGUAAACAGCUUUCGCCUGUGACGAAGAGUGAGUGACGGUAAUGGGUAAAGAAGCACCGGCUAACUACGUG